This 764-nucleotide ribosomal RNA is filed under the name bacterium RA004. RNAcentral describes it as "bacterial SSU rRNA". It matches the Rfam family "Bacterial small subunit ribosomal RNA", at positions 1 to 760 of the family's 1533-position model. The record is from RNAcentral.
GGGUUGCGGUCUUUUUUGAAUUUUUGGGUCAGGCUCAGGAUGAACGCUGGCGGCGUGCUUAACACAUGCAAGUCGAACGAUGAACCUCACUUGUGGGGGGAUUAGUGGCGAACGGGUGAGUAACACGUGAGUAACCUGCCCUUGACUCUGGGAUAAGCCUGGGAAACCGGGUCUAAUACUGGAUACGACCUUCUGGCGCAUGCCAUGUUGGUGGAAAGCUUUUGUGGUUUUGGAUGGACUCGCGGCCUAUCAGCUUGUUGGUGGGGUAAUGGCCUACCAAGGCGACGACGGGUAGCCGGCCUGAGAGGGUGACCGGCCACACUGGGACUGAGACACGGCCCAGACUCCUACGGGAGGCAGCAGUGGGGAAUAUUGCACAAUGGGCGCAAGCCUGAUGCAGCGACGCCGCGUGAGGGAUGAAGGCCUUCGGGUUGUAAACCUCUUUCAGUAGGGAAGAAGCCUGUCUUUUGGGUGGGUGACGGUACCUGCAGAAGAAGCGCCGGCUAACUACGUGCCAGCAGCCGCGGUAAUACGUAGGGCGCAAGCGUUAUCCGGAAUUAUUGGGCGUAAAGAGCUCGUAGGCGGUUUGUCGCGUCUGCCGUGAAAGUCCGGGGCUUAACUCCGGAUCUGCGGUGGGUACGGGCAGACUAGAGUGCAGUAGGGGAGACUGGAAUUCCUGGUGUAGCGGUGAAAUGCGCAGAUAUCAGGAGGAACACCGAUGGCGAAGGCAGGUCUCUGGGCUGUAACUGACCGCGGAGGAAGGC